UGGAACCUAAGAUAGAACAUUGCCACCUCCUAGAUUAUGUUGCCCCCAUCUUACAAGGCACUGCCACCAAAGUAGAACCAUAACUGAGGCUUCAGAAGAUCAUUCUACAGCUCAACUGAACCAGCCUUUUCAGGAUGAUGGGGAACGUAAUAGGACCAGUGAAAUCCAUGAGCACGUGCCCUGAGAAGUAACUUAUUUGUUUAUAAGUGAUGCUGUGUGGAAUCCAUGAUGUUGAAUGAUGUCAUCAAUCAAACGAAUAGUGUCAUGGCUGGUGUAAGGGAAAGAUGAGUAAAGUCUGCAAGGACUGGAAUACGACAUAAGCCCGGAGAGUUGAUGUAAGUCUGAAGUGGGAAGUCGACGUGCGUUGCUGCCCUUUCCAGCUUAAGUCAGGACGCACAGGUCUUGAGAUCAAGGCGUGGAAACAGAAGUGCCUCUCUCACGACUUACCCCUAGAGGUGCACUGCCCAAUGUGCUUGCCAUCGCCAUCGCUGCAGGCCUUGCUGAACCAGAGGCCUUCGUUCCAAAGGGAGAAAUGCUUUCACCAAAGAACACACAGUGAUUCCAUCGAAAGGGAAUGGAAAC
This 582-nucleotide long non-coding RNA is filed under the name Equus caballus (horse). RNAcentral describes it as "lncRNA (ENSECAG00000044789.1)". The record is from RNAcentral. Lineage: Eukaryota; Metazoa; Chordata; Mammalia; Perissodactyla; Equidae.